AGAGAGACUAUUGUAUUGGUAAGGGAAAAAAGAAUGAGAGGAAUUUAAGGGCAAAUAUAUAUAUUUGUUUAAAGCCUCGAUUUUUUCUAAUUUAGUUGUAAUUAAUUUAAUAUAAUUAUUGAAUACUAUUUUUUAGAAAUACCUAUAGUUUUCAUUUUCUUGAAUCUGAACGAAUAAUAAAAAGGCUCCACUUUGACACCUAAGCUCUUUACAUAUCUAUCGAUCUUUCUCCUGUUUUUUUUCUUAAUUUUUUAAAAUUUUAUUUUUUGGUUGAGGUUUCUUCAGGGUUUCUUCUUCUCGAUGGUUCACACUUGUUGUGUUCACACCAUAUCCACAUAAAUCUUUCCUGGUUUUUUUUUUUUUUGUCUCUAUCUUUUUCUUUCUUUUUUUCCUUUUCUGGAUCAGUAAUCUUUUGUUGGGUGUAAAGAAAAAAAACUUAAUAAUCUCAGGGGAUUUGUCUGGUUUUGCGUUUAAUAGUUGUUUAUGGAGGGACAUCAUCGCCAUCAUCAUCAUCAGCAGCAGCAACAUCUGCAGCAACAACAACAGCCUGUAAGUGUCAACGUUGAAGCUGAUAGGUUUCCUCAAUGGAGUGUUCAAGAGACAAAGGAUUUUUUAAUGAUCAGAGCAGAGCUGGAUCAAAGUUUCAUGGAGACCAAAAGGAACAAGCUGCUUUGGGAAGUUAUCUCCACCAGGAUGAGGGAAAAGGGUUAUAAUCGAAGCGCUGAACAGUGCAAGUGCAAGUGGAAAAACCUCUUUACUCGUUACAAGGGAUGUGGAACGGUUGACGCAGAAAUUGUGCGGCAACAGUUCCCGUUUUACGACGAGUUGCAGGCCAUAUUCACGGCGAGGAUGCAAAGUGUUCUAUGUUCGGAAAGUGAAGGCGGAGGAGCUACGGGGUCGAAAAAAAAGGCAGCACAGGCGCAGCUAUCUUCCGACGAGGAAGACGAUACGGAGGAAAACGAGUACAGCUUUAGGAAGAAGAAGAAAGGGAAAACUGGUGGUGGGAGUAGUAGUACGAGCGGCAGCAUUAAUAUAAAGGAAAUGUUAGCGAACUUCAUGAGGCAACAGUUGCAGAUGGAAAUGCAAUGGAGGGAAGCUUUGGAGUCGAGAGAAAACGAGAGGCGGAUGAAGGAAAUGGAGUGGAGGCAAACCAUGGAAGCCCUUGAAAACGAGAGGAUAAUGAUGGAGAGAAGAUGGAGGGAAAGGGAAGAACAAAGGAGAGUAAGGGAAGAAGCUAGGGCUGAGAAGAGAGAUGCUCUCAUUACUGCACUUUUAAACAAGCUUAGAAGAGAAGAUCAAAUGUAGUGCAACUCCCGAAGAUUCACUCUAGUCUCCCCAGCAGUCUCAUUUUAUGGAUGACCUAGGCGACCAUGAACAAAAAAGGCUCCAAGGUCUAGAUAUAUGUUGGUGGUAGUUGAAGAAAUUAAAACAAUUAAUCUACAGCAAUCGAUCCACAAACGAUAGUGUUUCCAGAUGAGGUUGCAGGUUGGCACUAGUUUUUGUCCAUUACGUACAUGGCUUUUUUCAUCAUCAACUGGCAGAGGCAGAAGUAAUUCUUUUGUGUGCCUUGACUAUGUAAUCUGAUUUCAUUUUUUCACUUAAAGUCAAAUCAUUAUUAGCUGCUGGUUUAUAUAUUUAUAUGUCUUCUGUUUCAUAACCGGGUGAAAGUAUCGUGACAACCUGGAUUACCUUUUGUUUUUUCUGUUUGAAAAAUUAGUAAAUUAGUCUAUGUAAUUGAAUCAAAUAGUAAAUUAAUUUUUUUAUUAAAAA
RNA transcript from Gossypium arboreum, 1770 nucleotides. It is a transcript of the gene named trihelix transcription factor GT-3b-like, with no coding region annotated. NCBI's taxonomy places the organism in Eukaryota, Viridiplantae, Streptophyta, Magnoliopsida, Malvales, Malvaceae. The record is from RefSeq and is a predicted model, not a curated record. The transcript is spliced from 4 exons.